UAAAAUGAGAGUUUGAUCCUGGCUCAGGACGAACGCUGGCGGCGUGCCUAAUACAUGCAAGUCGAACGCUUUUUUCAAUCAU
Molecule: ribosomal RNA, 82 nt
Filed under: Ligilactobacillus agilis
Lineage: Bacteria; Bacillati; Bacillota; Bacilli; Lactobacillales; Lactobacillaceae
Description: partial 16S ribosomal RNA
Rfam family: Bacterial small subunit ribosomal RNA
Source: RNAcentral